Molecule: ribosomal RNA, 459 nt
Filed under: uncultured bacterium
Lineage: Bacteria
Description: partial 16S ribosomal RNA
Rfam family: Bacterial small subunit ribosomal RNA
Source: RNAcentral
CCUACGGGAGGCAGCAGUGAGGAAUAUUGGUCAAUGGGCGGGAGCCUGAACCAGCCAAGCCGCGUGAGGGAAGAAGGUACAGCGUAUCGUAAACCUCUUUUGUCAGGGAACAAAGGCGGGGACUAGUCCCCGGAUGAGGGUACCUGAAGAAAAAGCAUCGGCUAACUCCGUGCCAGCAGCCGCGGUAAUACGGAGGAUGCGAGCGUUAUCCGGAUUUAUUGGGUUUAAAGGGUGCGUAGGCGGACGCUUAAGUCAGCGGUAAAAUUGCGGGGCUCAACCUCGUCGAGCCGUUGAAACUGGGUGCCUUGAGUGGGCGAGAAGUACGCGGAAUGCGUGGUGUAGCGGUGAAAUGCAUAGAUAUCACGCAGAACUCCGAUUGCGAAGGCAGCGUACCGGCGCCCAACUGACGCUGAAGCACGAAGGCGUGGGUAUCGAACAGGAUUAGAUACCCGGGUAGUC